Orcinus orca (killer whale) is the source of this 4025-nucleotide long non-coding RNA. RefSeq lists it as uncharacterized. The record is from RefSeq and is a predicted model, not a curated record. The transcript is spliced from 2 exons. NCBI's taxonomy places the organism in Eukaryota, Metazoa, Chordata, Mammalia, Artiodactyla, Delphinidae.
GUGUGGCUCGCGGGCUCUAGAGCACAGGCUCAGUAGUCGUGGCGCACGGGCUUAGUUGCUCCGCGGUAUGUGGGAUCUUCCCAGGCAAGGGCUCGAACCUGUUUCCCCUGCAUUGGCAGGUGGAUUCUUAACCACUGCGCCAUCAGGGAAGCCCCACUGUGGUGGUUUUGUAUUUGUAUCUCUAGACAGUGAGCCUCAAUUAAAAAAAAGAAAAAAAAAUGUAAUCCUGUUUCAGUCCUUAUAUGUAAUUGAAACAAAUCUCGUAUUUUACUACUUGCAGUGCAUAGAUGUGCUUUUAUUUUUAAAAUGCUACUUAGGACACACUAAACGGUUCUGACCAACUGGGAACGAUUUCUUAGGAGUGUAGAAGUUAGUGUUUAUCUCCCGAUUCAGCUUAUUCUGGUGGUUGUGGAAGUGAAUUUGGGAUCCAAGUGGCAUUUUCAUUUCAGACAGCCAUUCUCCAGAUAGGCAGUGAAAAACAAGGCUUGAUGAAAAAACUUGGCCCCAGAAUGGCAACGAAUGAAAUCUCAAAGCAUAAAAAAGAGCCAGUCAACAACAACCCCUAGAACCUUAGGCUCUAAGAACCAGCUGGGUCAGGCAAGGGGCUAGAGGCUCUAGAGCCAAGGAAAAGCUUUAACUACCUUGUAAAGUCAGUCUCUUUAAAUCAGCCGCAUGACUCACUGCACCUACUAUUGUUUCCUGAAACUAGGUCUUUUCUCCCUACACCUAGAACAUAUCAGGUAUUUACGUUGACUGUCGUGAUCCCACAUUAGCACACACUAAUAGGACUAAUUUUCCCCAGAAAAAAGGAUAGUCCCAUAACUUGUUCAGGGAAUGGUAUAUAACAUGGUACACAAUACAGAAGAGCAUACUUUUUAAAACUUCCUUUACAUAGAUUUCUAAGUUAAAAACUGUUGUUUUGCUUAAUACUCUUAACCAUGGGAGGCAGACAGGCUAGACUAUAUUAGCCCCAUUUUAUAGGCAAGAGUGGAAACAUUUCCAUAUUUAGUAUACGACAGAUCUGGGAUAUAAACCCUGGGGCUUCCACACUCAACUGCUCUUUUCCCGUGACUUUUUGAUACAUCAUUUUAAAGUAAUCUGACUUCAUAAUGCUUUACAGUAUAAGAGUAACAUCUAUAACAUCUCAUCCUGGCAGGUUCACUCUUGAGCCAGUUAACUGUGAAAUAAAAUUCAUAUUUUAUGGAAAGAGAAGAAAAAUUUAAACAAAAAAUCUUCUCUGCCUUUUGGCCUCCUCUCUCCCACCACUGUGCAUUGUGUAUCUUGCAUUAUGCAUUGACCAAACCUUUACCAUUGGCGGAAAUUUCUACUCAACCAUAAAGAGCAACAUUCUCCUAAGACAGUUCCUUAAAGGUAACAUUCCUUCUUGAUAAGGGGUCACAUGGUGCUCAGAUGUGGAUUAUGUAAAUUGUCAAUAAUAUGUCAUUUGAUGUACAGCCCUCCUCUGUCUCAAAAAGCAUAUAUAACUGUAUCUUGACUUCUAAUGGGCGGAACAAUUCUCAGGGCUUUGUGAGAUGCUCUUCCUGCGUUAUAAUCCUCAAAUUUGGCUCGAAUAAAAUUUUCCAUUUCUUUUUUAGAUCGACUGAUUAAAAUUUUUCAUCGACAUAUGCUUGGUGUAGUCAGCAGUAUAUCAGAGACUCCUGCCAGAGGCCACCGGGAGUCUAUGCAGAACAAGUGCUUGGUGGCAGCAUGGGCCCAUUGAGCCCCACCUGCUUCUCAGCACUCCCCAGGUGUUUUUGGUGGGUUCUCCUGAUAUUUGGAUCUCAUUGUUUGGGUGUUGAUCCUAAAAAUUUUAUUUGAGCUGGGUUUCACUUAAGACUUAGAGUCUUAAGGGGCACCGGUGCAUUUCCUAGGCACCUAGGGUGUCUGGGCAAGAGGCCCAGGGAAACAUGUGGCUGGGGUUUUGUUAAAUUUGGCUUUAAAAAAAAAAAGAGUUGAUAUAUGGUCUGAACAAAACUUCUGCUAGUGAAAUCAGAGACUGAAUUAUUCAGCGCCAAAGAAUAAAGGGACAUUUUGCUCCUUCCAGCCACAAGCCAUCCUCAGAUGACUGAGGAUCUUUGGGAAGUGUCUGAGGAUCAAUUUUCAUGAUAUGUAGCGGUCCCAUAGGGAAACCCCAUUACAGUCAUUAAGUAAGUACUGCUCAUCCAGGCGGCGUGACAGAGGCUGAUCACCUAGUGUUCCGAGCACCCAAGAUGGUUUUAGGCUGUCACUGGGAGAAACUGAGCCACCUAAAAGAAGUCGAACCAGGGAAUUCCCUGGUGUUCCAGUGGUUAGGAUUCUGUGCUUUCACUGCCAGAGGCCCAGGUUCAAACCCUGGUCAGGGAACUAAGAUCCAGCAAGCCACAUGGUGCAGCCAGAAAAAAAAGGUUAGUAUCUGCAGAUUUUUGGUAACUUGAAACUAAACCAAGGUAAAUUAUGAGAAUUCAUUCACUAUCUGGGUCAUUACAAACAGGAUAAAAUUCUGGAACAUUAAUUGCCGGGGAGGUCUACGUUCUUAGAAGAGGAAAACUAAAGCAUAAGCGUAAGUUUGCCAAUCAGGAAAUGCUGAUAUGACAAACACCAUUUUUAUUUAUUUAUUUUGGCUGCGCCAUGUGCGGCAUGCAGGAUCUAGUUCCCUGACCAGGGAUCGAACUCGUGCCCCCGUGGAAGCUCGGAGUCCUAACCACUGGACCACCAGGGAAUUCCAGAGAAAAAUUAAGGUUUUAAGGUUAAGAAUUAUAAGGGAAACAUUUCAGUAUGCAAGGAAGUAGGAUGUGUGUUUUCAGCAAAGAAGGUAUGAGGAUUGAAAAUGCAUUUUGUUAAAGGAAAAAAGGUUUUGUCCUAGAGCUGGUUGUUUCUGAAUAGAUACAGAAAGUUGUGGAAAGUUUGUGGAAAAGGAACACUGAGUUUUGUGCAUGGUCAAAAUUGGCUGAGAUAAGAUUGAACUUAAUUAAGGAAAUUUUUUUUUUUUUUUUGCGGUACGCGGGCCUCUCACUGUUGUGGCCUCUGCCAUUGCGGAGCACAGGCUCCGGACGCACAGGCUCAGCAGCCAUGGCUCACGGGCCCAGCCACUCCGCGGCACGUGGGAUCUUCCCGGACCGGGGCAUGAACCUGUGUCCCCUGCAUCGGCAGGCGGACUCUCAACCACUGCGCCACCAGGGAAGCCCAAGGAAAUGUUUUAAAGAUCAACUGAUUAAAGGCACAGGGGCUCAGCAAUCUACCACCAUGUUCUUAAUAGGAAACACCCACUGGCUUGAAGGGAAAAAAGCCACCUUGGUAAGCCUUGGUCUUCCACAGGGCACAGAACCAGAGGAUACUAGCAAGGUCAGAGCCCAUGUGACCAAUCCUGGUAGUGCAGGACUUCUUCACAUAAGAUGACUGAGUCCCUGAGAAAGAUCUACCAACACCCUAAACUUCCAAGAAAAAAACUGGAGUGUAUGCAUGUUUUCUUGGGGAAAGGGUCCUUCCCUUCGCAUAGAUCCAAGAGUCGGUUAAAAUCCUGAGCUAGAGAAAAGCACUAAGCCAGCUGCAAAGAUGAUAAUAAGGAAGCUACCAGAUACACCCAGAGCCAGCCAGUCGGAGAGCUCACUAAGCCGUCACGGAAGUUAGAACACAGACUCACAGCAGACAACAGGGCAUUGUUUUUGUGCGCUUCUUUCUAAUUGUAUUUCAAGUUCUUUCUAAAACAAGGCCCUUGGAUACCCCAGGUUCGAUAUGCCCCUGGGCCUGGUCCACUGCUGUCUUGUAUUCAUAUGUGGGUAUCUGUUCGUUCACCAACAUUAAAUCCCAGGAUAGGUGUGAUAAAACAGGACUCCCUCCUCCAUGGCACAAGUCCUUUGCUGGUAUGAGGUGGACGGCGGUCUUUGCAGAAAACACACAGGAACUUUUUCUUGGAACUGAAGUGGGAUGAAAAGUGCCUGCCCUGAACAUCACCAUCUUUUCUCUGACCCUUCCCCUCCAGUUUCUGAAGAUACAGCAGAAAAUAAUCUUGCUUGAAGAUACUGGGUAACAAUUCCAUAAAACAAAAA